UUCACAGACCUCCCUUUUCUCGUAUUUUUAUUCGAUCGUCGAAUGCACGGAUAGAAUCGCAUGUACCCAACGUAAGCGCCAAAAAUCUUUCAAUUAUUCAGAUCAAUAGUUACAACGAACAGGGACUUUCCCGCAUUUUGAUUUAUUUAUACGUCAUACUUAAGUAGAACUUCUAUCACUAUCAAUUAUGCAAAUCGAUUAAAAUCAGAAGGGAAUUCCGCGAAUUUUAGUUUACUCUAUAUUUACACCGUAAAGCCCCGGCCAAACGAUCGCAACAUUUCAACGCAACAUAUCGCAACAUUGUUGGUAGGAAAAUGUUGCUUGCGUUUGGCCACCCUAUUGCGACAUAUUGCGACGUGUUAAGUUUUGUUGGUUCAAAUUUGAAAAUGAUCAAAUUUUUCAUGCAACAUUUGCGGAUGUUGCAUGACGUUGUAACCGUUUGGCCAGGUCGGUGCAACAAUGUUUCGCCCAGGCAUGCGCACUUGUUCGAAUUUCCAUACCCAACACGUCGCAACACGUCGCAACAGGGUGGCCAAACGCGUGCAACAUGUUGCGCCCAACAAUGCUGCGAUAUGCUGCGUUCAAAUGUUGCGAUCGUUUGACCGGUGCUUGCAAAUGCUGGGCCACCAAGUUGGGAUAUGUUGUGUUGAGAUGUUGAGAUCGUUUGGCCGGGGCUUCAGACCACCUUCAAAUGCACGCUCUGAUUGCGUGCAACAGCGGUCGACAUUUCGCGGGUAACAGCGAACUGUUUCCCGCUUGAGGUCAUAGUUUUCGCAAUGUUGCCCGCUCAUGGCAUUUGGUGGUAAACAGUUUUAUUGUUAGAUGUCAUGUGACCAUGAACUAGCCAAUGAAUGGGCGCGUUGUCGCAAAGAAAAAUGCCUUACUAUAUGUACAAACGUACAUGUACCACCGAGAAGACAGGAGCAAAAUAUGACGAAAAGUGAAAUGUUUUUGAUAAACGUAGAGGCACGUAGUAAAGUGGUAAAGGGCAGUUUCAUGGAUAUGUGAUAUUUCCUCUCGAUGGAAAUUGAAACUUAGGGGAAACUACACUGAGGAGCCGAAUGUAUGCAUAUUAAGAUCAGAUUACUAGAAAGCAUGGCAUAUAUGAUUACUUUUGUUGAUGAUAUAGAAAUUCAAAGCACUGCACAAACCUGAAGCAGGCACACAAGAGCAUUACUGAAUAUAACAAAGCGUGCAAACUAAAGAGAGUUGAGGGAAAAGCAUUGCACACACCCGAUGUUUGUGACGCAAAGUACGUCAUACAAAAACAUCCCUGAAUAUAGCAAAGCCGCAAACUUGAAGGGCGUCGAGGGAAAGGCACUGCACAAACCCGGCGUUUGUGAGGCAAAGCACGCAUAAAAUAAUAAACAGUUCUGCAACUACGCAGUAAAAGCGUGAAAAUACUACAAGGGCGUAAGGGAAGGGAAAACCGUGAGUAAACUGGACCUGCUGUAGGCGUUUAGUUCAGUAGAAGGAAUCAGGGACUGUGCAAGCAACAUGGACGAGAACUUGAUCAUUCGGCAUAGGGUUUAUCACAUAAAGAUGAAAAUUGCCGAAAGAAAUGACAGGCUGCAUAAGCACUAUAAUAAAUGGGAAAAAAAUAAUAAUAAUAGAGUACAACACAUGACAUUACGAAGCGGAGGUUCCUUACACGAACUGGGCUGAAAUGAGAUGCAGAGCUCUUAUUUAUUUUCCCUUAGUAAGAGACUGGAGUGAAUAGCGAAAAACUGGCUGCUUUUCUGGAACUACCGCACGAGGUGUCUUUGGAAAGCAUUUUCAUAGUGCUGGGCAGGAAAAUUAUCGGAAGUUUUCACACUAAUCCACGAGAAAUGAGCUUUAAAGGUAGAGUUUUUAAAUUCCUCCGAUUUGAAGAGUGUUUUCGAAAAGCUCCGUUUUCGUGAGGGAUUAGUGUGGACUGUAGGCGUAGCCGGAGAAAUAAAGCAGCGUCAAACAGGGCCUUAAUGAGAAAUACUUCGCGGAAUAUUCAUUUGCACACGAACUACUUGUUCUUGAGUUGACGAAGUGGGGAACCCAAGUCGUCUUCCGUUAUAUUCGCUGUCUAUAAGGACAAUUAAAUCAAGAAUGUUUGUGCUAUGAAAUUUUUUAUAUCCUUUUUGAGUGUGUUAAAAUGUUCUUUUCCUCAGAAUACAAGUGAUUCUCUAUAAUAAAUUAAGCGUUAUGUGGUAGUCAAUAUUUUAAGGAACUUUUUUUUUUCAA
This 2217-nucleotide long non-coding RNA is filed under the name Orbicella faveolata. RNAcentral describes it as "uncharacterized LOC110053426". Lineage: Eukaryota; Metazoa; Cnidaria; Anthozoa; Scleractinia; Merulinidae. The record is from RNAcentral.